CUGCCAACUCGUUGAUUGGUGAGGUGUCGCCCA
This 33-nucleotide unclassified non-coding RNA is filed under the name Sorangium cellulosum So ce56. Its description in RNAcentral is "sce_Cardiovirus_CRE_9". Lineage: Bacteria; Pseudomonadati; Myxococcota; Polyangiales; Polyangiaceae. The record is from RNAcentral.